GGUUCGGUGGUGUAGUUGGUUUAUCACGUCAGUCUAACAUUCCAUCAUUGCUUCUUAUGACGCGAUAUGAGGUUCACUGAAGGUCGGGAGUUCGAGCCUCCCCUGAAUCA
RNAcentral lists this transfer RNA (110 nucleotides) under Verticillium alfalfae VaMs.102. RNAcentral's name for it is "Verticillium albo-atrum VaMs.102 tRNA". It matches the Rfam family "tRNA". Rfam says of the family: Transfer RNA (tRNA) molecules are approximately 80 nucleotides in length. Their secondary structure includes four short double-helical elements and three loops (D, anti-codon, and T loops). The record is from Rfam by way of RNAcentral. Lineage: Eukaryota; Fungi; Ascomycota; Sordariomycetes; Glomerellales; Plectosphaerellaceae.